Molecule: long non-coding RNA, 254 nt
Organism: Chinchilla lanigera (long-tailed chinchilla)
Lineage: Eukaryota; Metazoa; Chordata; Mammalia; Rodentia; Chinchillidae
Exons: 3
Source: RefSeq, a predicted model, not a curated record
GAGAGCACCUUUCAGAGGCGGCAUGGGGUGAAGGGAUGGCUACCAACCACCCCUGCUUUCCCAAAGCCUGUAACCAACGGAUGGGUUUGACAAGCUUCAGGAAUCUUGUGUGUGUGUGCCAGCAAUACCUGUGGAUAAAAGAAUACGAUGUUCAAGGUACUCUGGCGUUCUGGUCUCAGUGUGGAAGCUGGAUUACCUCCCGAUGAGGCUGGCAGGGCUGGCUGCUGGAGUUUGCUGUGGCUGCAGGAUCUUCU